GUUCUAUAAAGGAAACUUCCCUAGAAAGAAACCACUUCUAAAUGGAAUAAUUAAAAUAAUUUGUUAGAAACUUUAAGUUACCCUAUGAGCUCCUAGUAACACUGUUUUCAAGCUCAUAGGUUAAUUGUUAAGCCCUUUUGCUCCGAGUUGAACUGAUCAAAUGGCUCUGUGUAAAAGGUAACAGUGUAGAAUCCUCUUUGAGAAAUAGCAUGUAAACUUGGGAGAAAUGGCCUAAGCCCACGGUUCUCAAGUCACUGAGACAGUUGAAAAAGCCCCCUCAGGUGGUGAGAAUGGGAUAAUAUUUUAUUAUAUCUCUAAGAUGCCUCAAAUCCAAAGAGAUAAUUAAAUUUGGAAUUUUAUUAGUUUCACCUAAUAGUUGUAUAAAAGCUGAAUAUUUAAGGAUCUCCUUUAUCAGGCACUGAGAUGCUUUGUAUACAUUACUUCAUUUAGUUUUCACAAUAGUCCUAAGAGGUGGAGGUAUUUUUGACCCUGUUUUAUAGUUGAAGAACAGGCUCAGUAAGGUUAUAUUACCUGCUCCAAAUUUCACAGCUAGUUAAUUUAGUUUAUGUUGGAAGUUAGCAUUUAAGGUUGGUUAUUUUUCCUAUGUGGCUCCAAUUGCUCCUAAAAUGGUGUUGAUUUUUCUGUUUAAAAUGAUCCAGAGGAGGUUCUUGGUUCAAAGCAGAUUUUUAAGUGAUUUAAAAGUGCCUCAUUGUCCCAGCGCCAAAUUAUCAAAGUUCAAGGAAUUAUGCAUUUACUCUAGAAGGCUACGGCUUUCAAAUAUUAACUGAGAAAGCCCUACUCUUAAUGAGCUCGUUAAUGCACAUGGCCGCCUUAGUGUUGCUGAACUCCGGUAACUUUCUUCUGCUUUUUUUCUGAAGACCUUUUAAUUCAGGGUGUGCAUUUUCCUCUUGCGUGUCACAAGUGCUAUUCAGGCUUUCUCUAGUUGAAUCCCCUGUUUGUGAGUGCAUACCUGCAGUAUUUUAUAUGCUAAGUGAAAUAUUUUUAAAUUUACGUUAGCACCUAGAUUAGCGUUGAACCUGUUUUAAGAAUGGCAGAGUCUUGCUCUGUUGCCCAGGCUGGAGUGCAGCAUCAUGAUCUCGACUCACUGCAACCUCAAGCAGUCUUCCCACCUCAGCCUGCUGAGUAGCUGAGACUACAGAAUUUGAUAUCCAUAAGUAGUAUUUCUUUUCUUACUCUUUUGAAUAAUUUGGCCUAUAUACAACUCCUAGCUAGAACUGUCUAUUAUAUUAGGG
This 1253-nucleotide long non-coding RNA is filed under the name Homo sapiens (human). RNAcentral's name for it is "HSALNT0357854". The record is from RNAcentral. Lineage: Eukaryota; Metazoa; Chordata; Mammalia; Primates; Hominidae.